AAGAACUGCAUCCAUUUCUUCAUCCAAAAUCUAAUUAAAUAAAAAAAAAAUCACACCACCUUGCCACAAGAAACCCUAGCUAAAACUUUAACUAGAUUUAAGUGAGAACUUGACAAAUGAAGAAGGGCUGCUAAGUAUAAAGGCACCACUUCUGACUCGGAUGUUCGCUCUUGGCUGCUGUAGGAGAAAGUGUUGGGGCCUCCAGGAUGCUUUGUUCUGAUCCAGCAUGGCUCUUCUUGUGCUCUGACACAUUAUGCAUAUUACUGUCUUCCCUACUGUAAUUCAUUCUCCUUCUACAAUAAACUGUUGUAGCUGU
This is a long non-coding RNA of Cygnus atratus (black swan), 316 nucleotides long. RefSeq lists it as uncharacterized. The transcript is spliced from 2 exons. NCBI's taxonomy places the organism in Eukaryota, Metazoa, Chordata, Aves, Anseriformes, Anatidae. The record is from RefSeq and is a predicted model, not a curated record.